RNAcentral lists this ribosomal RNA (425 nucleotides) under uncultured bacterium. RNAcentral's name for it is "bacterial SSU rRNA". It matches the Rfam family "Bacterial small subunit ribosomal RNA", at positions 356 to 773 of the family's 1533-position model. The record is from RNAcentral.
GGGGAAUUUUGGACAAUGGGCGAAAGCCUGAUCCAGCAAUGCCGCGUGCAGGAUGAAGGCCCUCGGGUUGUAAACUGCUUUUGUACGGAACGAAAAGCCUGGGGCUAAUACCCCCGGGUCAUGACGGUACCGUAAGAAUAAGCACCGGCUAACUACGUGCCAGCAGCCGCGGUAAUACGUAGGGUGCAAGCGUUAAUCGGAAUUACUGGGCGUAAAGCGUGCGCAGGCGGUUUUGUAAGACAGUGGUGAAAUCCCCGGGCUCAACCUGGGAACUGCCAUUGUGACUGCAAAGCUAGAGUGCGGCAGAGGGGGAUGGAAUUCCGCGUGUAGCAGUGAAAUGCGUAGAUAUGCGGAGGAACACCGAUGGCGAAGGCAAUCCCCUGGGCCUGCACUGACGCUCAUGCACGAAAGCGUGGGGAGCAAAC